UUGAGGUCAAAAGGGUCCAAAAUUAAACUUUGUUUGAUUUCAUCGAAAAUUGAAUUAUUGGGGUUCUUUGAUAUGUCAAAUCUAACCGUGUUUUUAGAUUUUUAAUUUGGGUCCCGUUUUUAUACGACCGCAAAAAAAUUUUUGUGGUCGUAUAUUGGUAUGACGUUGGCGUCGUCGUCGUCCGGCGUCGUCGUCGUCAUCCGGCGUCGGCGUCGUCCGGCGUCGUCCGAAGACACAUUGGUUUUCGCACUCUAACUUUAGUUUAAGUGAAUGGAUCUUUUUGAAAUUUGACCAUAAGGUUAAAUACCACAAAAGGAAGGUUGGGAUUGAUUUUGGGGGUUAUGGUACCAACAGUUAAGGAAUUAGGGGCCAAAAAUUAGCAUUUUUGUAACUUCCAGACAUAACUUGUGUGUUAGUGUAUGGAUCUCUCUGACAUUGUACCACAAGGUUCCAUAUCACACAGGGAAUGCUGGGAUUGAUUUUGGGGGUAAUUGCCUCAAAAUAUUAGGAAUUAGGGGCCAAAAAAGGGGCAAAAAACAAGCAUUUUUCUAGUUUCAUGACAAUAACUUGUGUGUAAGUGUAUGGAUCUUUCUGAAAUUAUACUACAAGGUUCCAUAUCACAAAGGGAAGCUGGAAUUGAGUUUGGGGGUAAUUGCCCAAAACAUUUAGGAAUAAGGGGCCAAAAAGGGGCCAAAAAUAAGCAUUUUUCUAGUUUCCAGACAAUAACUUGUGUUCAAGUGUAUGGAUCUCUCUGAAAUUGUACCACAAGGUUCCAUAUCACACAGGGAAUGCUGGGAUUGAUAUUAAGGGUAAUUGCCUCAAAAUAUUAGGAAUUAGGGGCCAAAAAAGGGGCAAAAAACAAGCAUUUUUCUAGUUUCAUGAUAAUAACUUGUGCGUAAGUGUAUGGAUCUUUCUGAAAUUGUACUACAAGGUUCCAUAUCACAAAGGGAAAGCAGGAAUUGAGUUUGGGGGUAAUUGCCCAAAACGUUUAGGAAUAAGGGGCCAAAAAGGGGCCAAAAAUAAGCAUUUUUCUAGUUUCCAGACAAUAACUUGUGUUCAAGUGUAUGGAUCUCUCUGAAAUUGUACUGCAAGGUACCAUACCACAAAGGGAAGGCUGGGAUUGAGUUUGGGGGUGAUGAAUCAUAAGGGGGUUCAAAAAAUUUGGGGGGGGAUUUUUUUUUUUCAUUUUUUUUCUUUUUUUCCUUUUUUUUUCUUUUAAAAUUUUCCAUUUUAAGUUGGUUAUUUCUGUUUUAUAUUUAAAAGCAAAUAAUAAUGAUAUGGUAGGAGAUACACACCAAACAGGAUGUGUAAAUUAUUAUAUAAUAAGUAUUGUGCAAUAGCAAGAAAUUUUCAAUUGCACAGUAUUGCACAAUAGCAAGAAAUCUUAAAUUGCACAGUAUUGCGCAAUAGCAAGAAAUCUUCAAUUGCACAGUAUUGUGCAAUAGCAAGAAAUAUCCAAUAGCACAAUAUUGCGCAAUAGCAAGAAAUUGUCAAUUGUACAGUAUUGCGCAAUAGCAAGAAAUAUUCAAUUGCACAGUAUAAAUUGCUUAUUUCUUGACCAAUUUCAAUGGGGUUUUAUUCUUGAAUUCUUGGGGUUCUUUAAUAUGCUGAUUCUAACCGUGUAUUAAGUUUUUGGAUUUUGGGCCCCGUUUUUAAAUUGGUCCACAUUGAGGUCCAAAGGGUCCAAAAUUAAACUUUGUUUGAUUUCAUCAAAAAUUGAAUUAAUGGGGUUCUUUGAUAUACCGAAUCUAACCGUGUAUUUAGAUUCUUAAUUUUUGGUUCCCUUUUCAAAUGGGUCUACAUUACGGUCCAAAGAGUCCAAAAUUAAACUUAGUUUGAUUUUAACAAAAAUUGAAUUCUUAGGGUUCUUUGAUAUGCUGAAUCUAAACAUGUAUUUAGAUUUUUGAUUAUGGGCCCAGUUUUCAAGUUGGUCCAAAUCGGGGUCCAAAAUUAAAAUUUGUUUGAUUUCAACAAAAAUUGAAUAUAUGGGGUUCUUUGAUAUGCUGAAUCUAACCAUGUAUUUAGAUUUUUGAUUUUUGGGCCCCUAUAUCAACUUUGUCCACAUUGAGGUCAAAAGGGUCCAAAAUUAAAUUUUGUUUGAUUUCAUCAAAAAUUGAAUUCUUGGGGUUCUUUGAUAUGCUGAAUCUAACCAUGUAUUUAGAUUUUGGAUAUUGGACCAUAAUAGGUGAAUGUCCAAUUUAAAAUUUAUAAGUUCUUAGACCACAUUGAUUCUGUGUCAGAAACCUAUGCUGUGUCAAAUAUUUAAUCACAAUCCAAAUUCAGAGCUGUAUCAAGCUUGAAUGUUGUGUCCAUACUUGCCCCAACUGUUCAGGGUUCGACCUCUGCGGUCGUAUCAAGCUGCGCCCUGCGGAGCAUUUUAUUUGUUUCUGUUUUCUAACUUUAGUUUGCCUCAAUCAAAUGUUAUGAAACUUAUACACAAUGCUUAUUACUACAUAAUACAGAUUAAGAACGAAAUUUCUUUAUAAACAUAAAAUUGCUGAAUUUUU
Molecule: long non-coding RNA, 2507 nt
Organism: Mytilus californianus (California mussel)
Lineage: Eukaryota; Metazoa; Mollusca; Bivalvia; Mytilida; Mytilidae
Exons: 2
Source: RefSeq, a predicted model, not a curated record